RNAcentral lists this ribosomal RNA (889 nucleotides) under Clonostachys rosea. RNAcentral describes it as "LSU rRNA". It matches the Rfam family "Eukaryotic large subunit ribosomal RNA", at positions 38 to 963 of the family's 3401-position model. RNAcentral also lists the same sequence under 1 other name. The record is from RNAcentral. Lineage: Eukaryota; Fungi; Ascomycota; Sordariomycetes; Hypocreales; Bionectriaceae.
GCAUAUCAAUAAGCGGAGGAAAAGAAACCAACAGGGAUUGCCCUAGUAACGGCGAGUGAAGCGGCAACAGCUCAAAUUUGAAAUCUGGCGCAAGCCCGAGUUGUAAUUUGUAGAGGAUGUUUCUGGCGACGUGCCUUCCGAGUUCCCUGGAACGGGACGCCAUAGAGGGUGAGAGCCCCGUACGGUUGGAUGCCUAGCCUCUGUGAAACUCCUUCGACGAGUCGAGUAGUUUGGGAAUGCUGCUCUAAAUGGGAGGUAUACGUCUUCUAAAGCUAAAUACCGGCCAGAGACCGAUAGCGCACAAGUAGAGUGAUCGAAAGAUGAAAAGCACUUUGAAAAGAGGGUUAAAAAGUACGUGAAAUUGUUGAAAGGGAAGCGUUCAUGACCAGACUUGAGCAGGUUGAUCAUCCGUGGUUCUCCGCGGUGCACUCUGCCUGCUCAGGCCAGCAUCAGUUCGUUCCGGGGGAUAAAGGCUCUGGGAAUGUGGCUCCCUCGGGAGUGUUAUAGCCCACUGCGUAAUACCCUGGGAUGGACUGAGGUUCGCGCUCUGCAAGGAUGCUGGCGUAAUGGUCAUCAACGACCCGUCUUGAAACACGGACCAAGGAGUCGUCUUCGUAUGCGAGUGUUCGGGUGUCAAACCCCUACGCGUAAUGAAAGUGAACGUAGGAGAGAGCUUCGGCGCAUCUCCGACCGAUCCUGAUGUUCUCGGAUGGAUUUGAGUAAGAGCAUACGGGGCCGGACCCGAAAGAAGGUGAACUAUGCCUGUAUAGGGUGAAGCCAGAGGAAACUCUGGUGGAGGCUCGCAGCGGUUCUGACGUGCAAAUCGAUCGUCAAAUAUGGGCAUGGGGGCGAAAGACUAAUCGAACCUUCUAGUAGCUGGUUUCCGCGA